UACGGGGGGGCAAGCGUUGUUCGGAAUUACUGGGCGUAAAGGGUUCGUAGGUGGCUUGCUAAGUCAGACGUGAAAUCCCUCGGCUCAACCGGGGAACUGCGUCUGAGACUGGCGGGCUUGAGUGCAGGAGAGGAACGCGGAAUUCCAGGUGUAGCGGUGAAAUGCGUAGAUAUCUGGAGGAACACCGGUGGCGAAGGCGGCGUUCUGGACUGCAACUGACACUGAGGAACGAAAGCCAGGGGAGCAAACGGG
This 252-nucleotide ribosomal RNA is filed under the name uncultured bacterium. RNAcentral's name for it is "partial 16S ribosomal RNA". It matches the Rfam family "Bacterial small subunit ribosomal RNA", at positions 524 to 776 of the family's 1533-position model. The record is from RNAcentral.